Molecule: unclassified non-coding RNA, 297 nt
Filed under: Hevea brasiliensis (rubber tree)
Lineage: Eukaryota; Viridiplantae; Streptophyta; Magnoliopsida; Malpighiales; Euphorbiaceae
Source: RNAcentral
CGUCCUCUGAUGCCAUCGCCGGAAUCCUAAGUCAAACUUCCGGCGCUGUCUGCUGCUAUUCCGGCGCCUCUUAUUCACUGGAAAUGGGAGUUAGCAUUCGAGAUAGAGAGAGAUGGAGGCGUUGGCCGGAGAGAGAGAGAGAGAGAGAUAGCGAAAAAGAGAAUAUUAUUUAAUCGUUAAUAAAAUUAGGUUAUCUAUAAAUAACCCUAACCCGCAGGCGAGGUUACUAUAGUCAUACGGUGUUUUAUCGUUGCUCUGUGCCGCUGGCCAGGGUGUUGUGUCUUCUGAAGCAAAGGA